Molecule: ribosomal RNA, 253 nt
Filed under: uncultured Brevundimonas sp.
Lineage: Bacteria; Pseudomonadati; Pseudomonadota; Alphaproteobacteria; Caulobacterales; Caulobacteraceae
Description: partial 16S ribosomal RNA
Rfam family: Bacterial small subunit ribosomal RNA
Source: RNAcentral
UACGUAGGUGGCAAGCGUUGUUCGGAAUUACUGGGCGUAAAGCGCACGUAGGCGGAUCGUUAAGUCAGAGGUGAAAUCCCGGAGCUCAACUUCGGAAUUGCCUUUGAUACUGGCGAUCUUGAGUGUGAGAGAGGUAUGCGGAACUCCGAGUGUAGAGGUGAAAUUCGUAGAUAUUCGGAAGAACACCAGUGGCGAAGGCGACAUACUGGCUCAUUACUGACGCUGAGGCGCGAAAGCGUGGGGAGCAAACAGG